This 253-nucleotide ribosomal RNA is filed under the name uncultured bacterium. RNAcentral describes it as "partial 16S ribosomal RNA". It matches the Rfam family "Bacterial small subunit ribosomal RNA", at positions 524 to 776 of the family's 1533-position model. The record is from RNAcentral.
UACGUAGGGUGCGAGCGUUAAUCGGAAUUACUGGGCGUAAAGCGUGCGCAGGCGGCUUUGCAAGACAGAUGUGAAAUCCCCGGGCUUAACCUGGGAACUGCAUUUGUGACUGCAUGGCUGGAGUGCGGCAGAGGGGGAUGGAAUUCCGCGUGUAGCAGUGAAAUGCGUAGAUAUGUGGAGGAACACCGAUGGCGAAGGCAGCCCCCUGGGUCGACACUGACGCUCAUGCACAAAAGCGUGGGGAGCAAACAGG